UAUUUUUUAGGACCCAGCCAAUUCAGAAAAUUUUGAGGUACUUCCAGAAACUGAACAUGAGCAAUACACAGAUUCAGCAGAGAUUGAAGAUGUGGAUGAAUAUCCAGAAGCUGAACCAGAGGAAAGCAAUAAUUAUUUUGACCAUGAGAGGACUAACAGUUCAGAUGAGGAAUCUGAGGAAGUGGAUGACCCACAAAAUGCUGAGUGGAGCAGUGAUGUAAAUUCUCAGACUGCACCUAAGGAUCCCUUGCACUUGGAUGAUGGAGAUGAACCUAUAUAUCCAGGAAGUGAUGUCACAAAGGCAGAGACUAUUUUAAUGAUUCUCACAUUUGUCCUGCGUCAUAAAAUAAGUGGAGAGGGUCUGAAAGAUUUCCUGUCACUACUGCACAUCUUGUUUCCAAGUAUUCUGCCAGCCACAAAAUACCUAUUUAUAAGUACU
Molecule: long non-coding RNA, 439 nt
Organism: Cyprinus carpio (common carp)
Lineage: Eukaryota; Metazoa; Chordata; Actinopteri; Cypriniformes; Cyprinidae
Exons: 5
Source: RefSeq, a predicted model, not a curated record